GAUGAACGCUGGCGGCGUGCUUAACACAUGCAAGUCGAACGAAACACCUUAUUUGAUUUUCUUCGGAACUGAAGAUUUGGUGAUUGAGUGGCGGACGGGUGAGUAACGCGUGGGUAACCUGCCCUGUACAGGGGGAUAACAGUCAGAAAUGACUGCUAAUACCGCAUAAGACCACAGCACCGCAUGGUGCAGGGGUAAAAACUCCGGUGGUACAGGAUGGACCCGCGUCUGUGUAGCUGGUUGGUGAGGUAACGGCUAACCAAGGCGACGAUCAGUAGCCGGCUUGAGAGAGUGAACGGCCACAUUGGGACUGAGACACGGCCCAAACUCCUACGGGAGGCAGCAGUGGGGAAUAUUGCACAAUGGGGGAAACCCUGAUGCAGCGACGCCGCGUGAGUGAAGAAGUAUUUCGGUAUGUAAAGCUCUAUCAGCAGGGAAGAAAAUGACGGUACCUGACUAAGAAGCCCCGGCUAACUACGUG
RNAcentral lists this ribosomal RNA (481 nucleotides) under uncultured bacterium. RNAcentral describes it as "partial 16S ribosomal RNA". It matches the Rfam family "Bacterial small subunit ribosomal RNA", at positions 28 to 507 of the family's 1533-position model. The record is from RNAcentral.